AUGGCAACCAAGGGAAAGAACAGAACAGAGACCAGGGUUCCCUGACCAUGAGCCCCGCAAGUGUAAGCUUGGGGCCUGGUACAAAGCAGGGGCUCUACAUGGCUGUGAUUCUGCAAGGAACUUCCCCUGAUUCUUCUUAAUUACCAGCAGUGAAGACAUUCAAGAUGCUGAGAGCAAAGGUCAAACCCCACCUGUUUUCCUUGCACUUCAUUUUCUGGCAGUUCCCACAAUAGUGUAGAUAAGUUAAAGAUUAAGGCAAUCUUUUCUAAUUAAAGUAAUUAAAAAGC
Long non-coding RNA from Mastomys coucha (southern multimammate mouse), 287 nucleotides. RefSeq lists it as uncharacterized. The record is from RefSeq and is a predicted model, not a curated record. Lineage: Eukaryota; Metazoa; Chordata; Mammalia; Rodentia; Muridae. The transcript has 2 exons.